Molecule: ribosomal RNA, 433 nt
Filed under: uncultured bacterium
Lineage: Bacteria
Description: partial 16S ribosomal RNA
Rfam family: Bacterial small subunit ribosomal RNA
Source: RNAcentral
AACGAACGCUGGCGGCAUGCCUAACACAUGCAAGUCGAACGAGACCUUCGGGUCUAGUGGCGCACGGGUGCGUAACGCGUGGGAACCUGCCCUUAGGCUCGGAAUCACUCCCCGAAAGGGGUGCUAAUACCGGAUAAUGUCUUCCGACCAAAGAUUUAUCGCCUUUGGAUGGGCCCGCGUUGGAUUAGCCAGUUGGUAGGGUAAAAGCCUACCAAGGCGACGAUCCAUAGCUGGUCGGAGAGGAUGAUCAGCCACACUGGGACUGAGACACGGCCCAGACUCCUACGGGAGGCAGCAGUGGGGAAUAUUGGACAAGGGGCGAAAGCCUGAUCCAGCAGUGCCGCGUGAGUGAUGAAGGCCUUAGGGUUGUAAAGCUCUUUUACCCGGGAUGAUAAUGACAGUACCGGGAGAAUAAGCGCCGGCUAACUCCGUG